This 238-nucleotide ribosomal RNA is filed under the name uncultured bacterium. Its description in RNAcentral is "partial 16S ribosomal RNA". It matches the Rfam family "Bacterial small subunit ribosomal RNA", at positions 96 to 334 of the family's 1533-position model. The record is from RNAcentral.
UGGCGAACGGGUGAGUAACGCGUGAGGAACCUGCCUCAAAGAGGGGGACAACAGUUGGAAAUGACUGCUAAUACCGCAUAAGACCACAGCACCGCAUGGUGCAGGGGUAAAAACUCCGGUGGUAUGAGAUGGACCCGCGUCUGAUUAGCUAGUUGGUAAGGUAACGGCUUACCAAGGCGACGAUCAGUAGCCGACCUGAGAGGGUGACCGGCCACAUUGGGACUGAGACACGGUCCAA